GCUUAGAAAAGGGCUCCUAUGGGGUGUUAUUUUGGAGUGUAAAAGUCCAUCAUACCCUUAGUAAAAGGCGUCUCUUGAGUGUAAGGAACCUCCUCCUUUCUUCACUUGGACAAGGCUUUGUAAUGGUUCCAAAAGGUCUUCAAGCACUUGUAAAUUCGAGACUUGAUCCUUUGACAAUCCGAAGCUUGAACCUUCUACAAGACCUUGUUAACCUUGUACUCUUUAUGAUUGUAUCAUCCUCUCCAUCUUAAAAGGAUUUGUCCUCAAAUUCAGAUCUUGCAAAACUAAAGAGAAAGCAAAACAAGCACAAAAUCCUC
Molecule: long non-coding RNA, 317 nt
Filed under: Capsicum annuum
Lineage: Eukaryota; Viridiplantae; Streptophyta; Magnoliopsida; Solanales; Solanaceae
Description: long non-coding RNA (CANN_LNC000218)
Source: RNAcentral